UACGGAGGAUGCGAGCGUUAUCCGGAUUUAUUGGGUUUAAAGGGUGCGCAGGCGGAUUUUUAAGUCAGCGGUCAAAUCGGGGGGCUCAACCCCAUCCAGCCGUUGAAACUGGGGAUCUAGAGUGUGCGAGAGGUAUGCGGAAUGCGUGGUGUAGCGGUGAAAUGCAUAGAUAUCACGCAGAACCCCGAUUGCGAAGGCAGCAUACCGGUGCACAACUGACGCUCAGGCACGAAAGCGUGGGUAUCGAACAGG
RNAcentral lists this ribosomal RNA (252 nucleotides) under uncultured bacterium. Its description in RNAcentral is "partial 16S ribosomal RNA". It matches the Rfam family "Bacterial small subunit ribosomal RNA", at positions 524 to 776 of the family's 1533-position model. The record is from RNAcentral.